This 273-nucleotide ribosomal RNA is filed under the name uncultured bacterium. Its description in RNAcentral is "partial 16S ribosomal RNA". It matches the Rfam family "Bacterial small subunit ribosomal RNA", at positions 524 to 796 of the family's 1533-position model. The record is from RNAcentral.
UACGAAGGGGGCUAGCGUUGUUCGGAAUUACUGGGCGUAAAGCGCGCGUAGGCGGACUGAUCAGUUGGGGGUGAAAUCCCAGGGCUUAACCCUGGAACUGCCUUCAAUACUGUCAGUCUUGAGUUUGGGAGAGGUGAGUGGAAUUCCUAGUGUAGAGGUGAAAUUCAUAGAUAUUAGGAGGAACACCAGUGGCGAAGGCGGCUCACUGGCCCAUUACUGACGCUGAGGUACGAAAGCGUGGGGAGCAAACAGGAUUAGAAACCCUAGUAGUCC